GGUUGGGAAGUAGGACAGUCACAUCCAAUUUAAAGCUUCAUAUCAAUGCUGACUUAGUUUUCAAGGGCCCAUCAAAUAUGAUGGCAAGAACACGAUUUACAGUAGCAUUUCGUGUUCAGAAGGUCAACAUUAACAAUCCCAACCACUUUUCCUUUUCUCUUAUUCCAAAUAAAAAAAAUUGUGAUUGCCUAAUGUUUUCAUGUUUCCGUGCAGAACAUCAUUGAAGUUCCAUUGAGUUACCAUAGUCAAUGGAGGCCAUCUUACCCAACUUAUGUUUUAUUUGACUACAAUGGAACCAAGCAUUUUAUUAGGGUGCGCAAAUGUGGCACUCGAUGCUUUUUUGCUGAUGGGCUGAAAGAGUUUAGAAGAACCCAUGACAUUAAUGACAGUGUCAUUAUCCAAUUUUUUGCAGCCUCUAAAGAUACUUCUUUGGAAGUCGGCAUCAUGGGACCUAUCCUUAGACAGACAUGUCGAAGGUUGGUUAUUACAACCAGAAGGCACAUCUUUACCGCUGAUGUCACCCAAGACAUGAUCGAACAUACCAACCCUUUGGUUCUUCCAGCAGCAGCUUUAAAUUUUUUGUUUGGAUAAAAAAAAAUUGUUCCUGUUCAGCGUCCAAAUGGCACACGAAACCAAUGGCAGAUCACCGUGCACAAUGGUCUGCCAUCUGUUGCAGAUCCAUGAUUUCAAUACCUCUGUGAAAAUAAUUUAAUGGUAGGAGAUGAAGUCAUGUUCUUCUUUAGGUUUGACAAACAUGUCUGGGAGGUCAUAUUUAGGAAACAAGUUAUGUGGGAUGAAGACCUCCCGGUUUGAAUCACCAUGCCUAAAGUUCAUGACUUUUUUUGUUUCAAUUUUAUUUUAUUUAUAUUUUCAUUAAUGUUGUUAAUCCAAUACCUUAGGGUAUUAAACAAUUUCUUUAAUUUUCUGCUUCACAAUUAAUCACUAUCAAUUUAUUA
Glycine soja is the source of this 956-nucleotide long non-coding RNA. RefSeq lists it as uncharacterized. Lineage: Eukaryota; Viridiplantae; Streptophyta; Magnoliopsida; Fabales; Fabaceae. The record is from RefSeq and is a predicted model, not a curated record. The transcript is spliced from 3 exons.